RNAcentral lists this ribosomal RNA (497 nucleotides) under uncultured bacterium. RNAcentral describes it as "partial 16S ribosomal RNA". It matches the Rfam family "Bacterial small subunit ribosomal RNA", at positions 28 to 507 of the family's 1533-position model. The record is from RNAcentral.
GAUGAACGCUGGCGGCGUGCCUAAUACAUGCAAGUCGAGCGAACAGGCGAGGAGCUUGCUCCUCUGACGUUAGCGGCGGACGAGUGAGUAACACGUGGAUAACCUACCUAUAAGACUGGGAUAACUUCGGGAAACCGGAGCUAAUACCGGAUAAUAUAUUGAACCGCAUGGUUCAAUAGUGAAAGACGGUUUUGCUGUCACUUAUAGAUGGAUCCGCGCCGCAUUAGCUAGUUGGUAAGGUAACGGCUUACCAAGGCAACGAUGCGUAGCCGACCUGAGAGGGCGAUCGGCCACACUGGAACUGAGACACGGUCCAGACUCCUACGGGAGGCAGCAGUAGGGAAUCUUCCGCAAUGGGCGAAAGCUUGACGGAGCAACGCCGCGUGAGUGAUGAAGGUCUUCGGAUCGUAAAACUCUGUUAUUAGGGAAGAACAAAUGUGUAAGUAACUAUGCACGUCUUGACGGUACCUAAUCAGAAAGCCACGGCUAACUACGUG